AGUCGAGCGGUAGAGAGAAGCUUGCUUCUCUUGAGAGCGGCGGACGGGUGAGUAAUGCCUAGGAAUCUGCCUGGUAGUGGGGGAUAACGUUCGGAAACGGACGCUAAUACCGCAUACGUCCUACGGGAGAAAGCAGGGGACCUUCGGGCCUUGCGCUAUCAGAUGAGCCUAGGUCGGAUUAGCUAGUUGGUGAGGUAAUGGCUCACCAAGGCGACGAUCCGUAACUGGUCUGAGAGGAUGAUCAGUCACACUGGAACUGAGACACGGUCCAGACUCCUACGGGAGGCAGCAGUGGGGAAUAUUGGACAAUGGGCGAAAGCCUGAUCCAGCCAUGCCGCGUGUGUGAAGAAGGUCUUCGGAUUGUAAAGCACUUUAAGUUGGGAGGAAGGGCAUUAACCUAAUACGUUAGUGUUUUGACGUUACCGACAGAAUAAGCACCGGCUAACUCUGUGCCAGCAGCCGCGGUAAUACAGAGGGUGCAAGCGUUAAUCGGAAUUACUGGGCGUAAAGCGCGCGUAGGUGGUUUGUUAAGUUGGAUGUGAAAUCCCCGGGCUNCACCUGGGAACUGCAUUCAAAACUGACUGACUAGAGUAUGGUAGAGGGUGGUGGAAUUUCCUGUGUAGCGGUGAAAUGCGUAGAUAUAGGAAGGAA
This 651-nucleotide ribosomal RNA is filed under the name bacterium 08-L049659-122-016-H01. RNAcentral describes it as "bacterial SSU rRNA". It matches the Rfam family "Bacterial small subunit ribosomal RNA", at positions 60 to 706 of the family's 1533-position model. The record is from RNAcentral.